Molecule: ribosomal RNA, 254 nt
Filed under: uncultured bacterium
Lineage: Bacteria
Description: partial 16S ribosomal RNA
Rfam family: Bacterial small subunit ribosomal RNA
Source: RNAcentral
UACGUAGGGAGCGAGCGUUGUCCGGAUUCAUUGGGCGUAAAGAGCUCGUAGGCGGCUUGGUAAGUCGGAUGUGAAACCUCCAGGCUCAAUCUGGAGUCGCCAUCCGAUACUGCCAUGGCUAGAGUCCGGUAGGGGCCCACGGAAUUCCUGGUGUAGCGGUGAAAUGCGCAGAUAUCAGGAGGAACACCGGUGGCGAAGGCGGGUCUCUGGGCCGUUACUGACGCUGAGGAGCGAAAGCGUGGGGAGCGAACAGG